UACAGAGGUCUCAAGCGUUGUUCGGAUUCAUUGGGCGUAAAGGGUGCGUAGGCGGCGCGGUAAGUCACUUGUGAAAUCUCUGAGCUUAACUCAGAACGGCCAAGUGAUACUGCAGUGCUAGAGUGUGGAAGGGGCAAUCGGAAUUCUUGGUGUAGCGGUGAAAUGCGUAGAUAUCAAGAGGAACACCUGAGGUGAAGACGGGUUGCUGGGCCAACACUGACGCUGAUGCGCGAAAGCCAGGGGAGCAAACGGG
This 253-nucleotide ribosomal RNA is filed under the name uncultured bacterium. RNAcentral describes it as "partial 16S ribosomal RNA". It matches the Rfam family "Bacterial small subunit ribosomal RNA", at positions 524 to 776 of the family's 1533-position model. The record is from RNAcentral.